Long non-coding RNA from Columba livia (rock pigeon), 372 nucleotides. RefSeq lists it as uncharacterized. Lineage: Eukaryota; Metazoa; Chordata; Aves; Columbiformes; Columbidae. The record is from RefSeq and is a predicted model, not a curated record. The transcript has 3 exons.
AGUCCAGAAGCCAUAAGUGAGGGUAAACCUUGGAGAAGCAGAAGGAUCUGCAGCAACAAGCCCAUGACCCGAGGGGAGAGUUGCUUCCUCACGUCACUGCAUGCUCAGGACUGGUGGCUGGAGUUCAAGAGAAGUUGCAUCUGAGACUUGAACUGACUAAUUUGACAGACACAGGAGAAGGCGCUGUUUCUGGUUUGUGGCUGAUAACCCCCGGCAUCAAUGUGAGCAGCCCACGGAGCAGGAUGAGCUGCUGUGCCUCUCUCCUGACACACAGGUCAGCGUGUGAGUGGCAGUCAUGGUGAUGAGUGGUGUGGCACCAGCUGUAUUCAUGGGAAAACUCAUCUGCCCCUUCAGGAGAAGUUUUCUGGUCAU